Molecule: ribosomal RNA, 423 nt
Filed under: uncultured bacterium
Lineage: Bacteria
Description: partial 16S ribosomal RNA
Rfam family: Bacterial small subunit ribosomal RNA
Source: RNAcentral
AAUCUUCCGCAAUGGACGAAAGUCUGACGGAGCAACGCCGCGUGAGUGAUGAAGGUCUUCGGAUCGUAAAACUCUGUUGUUAGGGAAGAACAAGUACCGCUCGAAUAGGGCGGUACCUUGACGGUACCUAACCAGAAAGCCACGGCUAACUACGUGCCAGCAGCCGCGGUAAUACGUAGGUGGCAAGCGUUAUCCGGAAUUAUUGGGCGUAAAGCGCGCGCAGGUGGUUUCUUAAGUCUGAUGUGAAAGCCCACGGCUCAACCGUGGAGGGUCAUUGGAAACUGGAGGACUUGAGUACAGAAGAGGAAAGCGGAAUUCCACGUGUAGCGGUGAAAUGCGUAGAGAUGUGGAGGAACACCAGUGGCGAAGGCGGCUUUCUGGUCUGUAACUGACGCCGAGGCGCGAAAGCGUGGGGAGCAAACA